AUGGCGUUGGAGUCUUCCAAAACAACAGCCCCACAUGUCUACCCAUUGGCCCCUGGCUGUGAUGGCACCACUGGCUCCACAGUGACCCUGGGAUGCCUGGUCAAGGGCUUUUUCCCUGAGCCAGCAACUGUAACCUGGAACUCCGGAACUCUGACCAGCGGUGUACACAUCUUCCCGUCCGUCCUGCAGUCUGGCCUCUAUUCCCUCAGCAGCUCAGUGACUGUACCUUCCAGCACCUGGCCCAGCCAGACAGUCACCUGCAACGUAGACCACCGGGCCAGCAGCACCAAGGUGGACAAGCCAAUUGCUCCUGAUCUCUUGGGCGGACCAUCUGUCUUCAUCUUCCCCCCAAAGCCCAAGGAUGCACUCAUGAUGUCCCUGGUCCCCAAGAUCACAUGCGUGGUGGUGGACGUGAGCGAGGAUGACCCAGAUGUCCAGUUCAGAUGGUUUGUGGGCAAUACAGAAGUACAAACAGCUCAGACACAGACCCAAGAGGAACAGUACAACAGUACCCUCCGUGUGGUCAGUACCCUCCCCAUCAAGCACCAGGACUGGAUGUCGGGCAAGGAGUUCAAAUGCAAAGUCAACAACAAAGCCCUCCCAGGCCCCAUUGAGAGAACCAUCUCAAAACCCAAAGGGCGAGCCCAAGCACCACAGGUACAUAUCUUUCCUCCACCCGCGGAGCAGAUGAACAAGAGAAGCCUCACUAUAACCUGCCUUAUCAUGGGCUUCUACCCUGAGGACAUCGAUGUGGAGUGGGAGAGCAAUGGGAAACAAGAGAAGAACUACAAGAACACCCCACCUGUCUUGGACACCGACGGUUCUUACUUCCUGUACAGCAAGCUCAAUGUGGAAAAGACCGGGUGGGACCAAGGAAACACCUACAGCUGCUCUGUGUCGCACGAGGCGCUGCACAAUCACCACAUGACGAAGACCAUCUCCCGGUCUCUGGGUAAAUGA
Molecule: non-coding RNA, 960 nt
Organism: Acomys russatus (golden spiny mouse)
Lineage: Eukaryota; Metazoa; Chordata; Mammalia; Rodentia; Muridae
Source: the annotation of a RefSeq genome assembly